RNAcentral lists this long non-coding RNA (243 nucleotides) under Mustela putorius furo (domestic ferret). RNAcentral's name for it is "lncRNA (ENSMPUG00000031851.1)". The record is from RNAcentral. Lineage: Eukaryota; Metazoa; Chordata; Mammalia; Carnivora; Mustelidae.
CAAAGUUAGACCCAACCUGUUGAUAUCUGGCACCAGAAGUAAUUCCAAAAUGCAGAUGCUGGGAGAAGAUUUUGGAUCUGGAUCUUGCACGAAUGGCUUGACCAUGAGGACUCCCAUCAGUAGUGGCGAGUGGGGUGCAGAGGGUCCUAGCACAAUGCAGAGAGGACCAGUACUCCUGGCAAGACGGUGGUCGAGAGGGAGCGAGUGACAUGAUUUCUUAAGCCUGUCAGAGGUUCACACUUG